This 430-nucleotide unclassified non-coding RNA is filed under the name soil metagenome. RNAcentral's name for it is "partial contains 5.8S ribosomal RNA, internal transcribed spacer 2, and large subunit ribosomal RNA". The stretch from base 1 to 120 matches the Rfam family "5.8S ribosomal RNA", at positions 35 to 154 of the family's 154-position model. The record is from RNAcentral.
GAUGAAGAACGUAGCGAAAUGCGAUACGUAAUGUGAAUUGCAGAAUUCAGUGAAUCAUCGAAUCUUUGAACGCAUAUUGCGCUCUCUGGUAUUCCGGAGAGCAUGCUUGUUUGAGUAUCAGUAAACACCUCAACUCCCUUUUCUUUUUUGAAAUUGGAGCUGGACUUGCGUGAUCCCAACGCUUUCUUCCAAGAAAGUGGCGGGUUGCUUGAAAUGCAGGUGCAGCUGAACUUUUCUCUGAGCUAUAAGCAUAUCUAUUUAGUCUGCCUAAAAAACAGAUUAUUACCUUUGCUGCAGCUAACAUAAAGGAGACUAGUUCUUGUGCUGACUGAUGCAGGAUUCACAGAGACAGCUUCGGCUGACUUUGUAAACUCGAUCUCAAAUCAAGUAAGACUACCCGCUGAACUUAAGCAUAUCAAUAAGCGGAGGA